RNAcentral lists this ribosomal RNA (630 nucleotides) under Pelagomonas calceolata. RNAcentral's name for it is "SSU rRNA". It matches the Rfam family "Eukaryotic small subunit ribosomal RNA", at positions 626 to 1256 of the family's 1831-position model. The record is from RNAcentral. Lineage: Eukaryota; Pelagophyceae; Pelagomonadales; Pelagomonadaceae.
GCUCGUAGUUGGAUUCCUGACCUGGGGUAGCCGGUCCGCCUUGCAAAAGGUGCGCACUGAGCGGCCUCGGUCAUCCUUGAGAAGAGCGGUCCUGGCAUUCAGUUGUCGGGGUCGGGAUUCUCGACGUUUACUGUGAAAAAAUCAGAGUGUUCAACGCAGGCUUACGCCUUGAAUACAUUAGCAUGGAAUAAUGAGAUAGGACCUUGGCGGUCUAUUUUGUUGGUUUGCACGCCGAGGUAAUGAUUAAAAGGGACGGUUGGGGUUCUUCGUAUUCAAUUGUCAGAGGUGAAAUUCUUGGAUUUAUGGAAGACGAACUGCUGCGAAAGCGUCGAACAAGGACGUUCUCAUUAAUCAAGAACGAAAGUUAGGGGAUCGAAGAUGAUUAGAUACCAUCGUAGUCUUAACCAUAAACUAUGCCGAUUCAGGAUUGGCGGUCGUUUGUUCUCGACUCCGUCAGCACUGUAUGAGAAAUCAAAAUCUUUGGGUUCCGGGGGGAGUAUGGUCGCAAGGCUGAAACUUAAAGAAAUUGACGGAAGGGCACCACCAGGAGUGGAGCCUGCGGCUUAAUUUGACUCAACACGGGGAAACUUACCAGGUCCAGACAUAGUAAGGAUUGACAGAUUGAGAGCU